Artibeus jamaicensis (Jamaican fruit-eating bat) is the source of this 955-nucleotide long non-coding RNA. RefSeq lists it as uncharacterized. The record is from RefSeq and is a predicted model, not a curated record. The transcript has 2 exons. Lineage: Eukaryota; Metazoa; Chordata; Mammalia; Chiroptera; Phyllostomidae.
CUUCCCUUCGGGGCUGUAAAACCUGCCACUUCCCGGAACCGCAGCCCUAGGCACUAAAAUCCAGGCCCUCAGGGGGUCGGGGCAGUUCUCUGUCCACAGCCGGCUUGGGUUUCCAAGAAUGCCUUUCCCCGCCGGAAGGAACGGUCACAGAGUCGGGCAGUUGGAAUGUGAUAGGGAAGAGAGAGGCUAAAGGGAGAGCAAUUCAUCUUCAUGCAGAAACCUACUAAGGCACCUGCGGAAAAGACACAGGACUUGUAAAAGAGAUUGGCGAGAUUGCAAGAGAAAGAUGGAAAAGCCCAACUGCGUUCUGCUUCUGCACACUGGCAGCAGUCACAAGUUUCGAUGAGGAAUGAUGCAGGGGACGCCGGCCUCAGAGACUUGGGACGCCUAGAGAAAAAUCUGGAAGACGACCUGCGGAUCCUGUCGGCGGAACCUACCACACGUGCCCAGCUCACCGACCCGAGGGCUUGGCAUUGCUGAGAUGUUCGUUCUCUUUAACUUGAUCUAUGGAUUUGACCCAGCCCCAAGCGAAACCCCGGAAAUUUACGUAUUUUUUGUAGAAACUGACACACUAGUUAUAGUGGGGGGGGGGAAUAGUACGGAGGGAAUGUCCAGUGUGGCACCGACAGCGUCUGCUCCAGUCACAACACACAGCUGGUCCAUUGUUCACCUCCCCUGGUCUGAGCGGCACAGCGAGGGCACCUGGCGGCCGGCCUCAGGUUGCAGUGGCUCAGUGGCGGUCUCCCGGGAAUUCGCAACUGGUCUGCUGGUGGACCCUCUAUGGCUCCUCACCAGUGGCCUUGCCGGGGAGCUGAGCACUUCAUCUGCAGUCACCAGGAAGACCAAGCCUCUGAGUUGUCUCUGGUGCAAUAGUUUCUAUUUUAUAGAAAACGCACGCGGUAGCUGAACACCAUGUAUCUCUUUAAUAAAUAAAGCCAACUGCUGGAAUAUUUCA